Molecule: transfer RNA, 73 nt
Filed under: Equus caballus (horse)
Lineage: Eukaryota; Metazoa; Chordata; Mammalia; Perissodactyla; Equidae
Description: tRNA-Tyr (GTA) (tRNA-Tyr-GTA-6-1)
Rfam family: tRNA
About the family: Transfer RNA (tRNA) molecules are approximately 80 nucleotides in length. Their secondary structure includes four short double-helical elements and three loops (D, anti-codon, and T loops). Further hydrogen bonds mediate the characteristic L-shaped molecular structure. tRNAs have two regions of fundamental functional importance: the anti-codon, which is responsible for specific mRNA codon recognition, and the 3' end, to which the tRNAs corresponding amino acid is attached (by aminoacyl-tRNA synthetases). tRNAs cope with the degeneracy of the genetic code in two manners: having more than one tRNA (with a specific anti-codon) for a particular amino acid; and 'wobble' base-pairing, i.e. permitting non-standard base-pairing at the 3rd anti-codon position.
Source: RNAcentral
CCUUUGAUAGCUCAGCUGGUAGAGCAGAGGACUGUAGAUCCUUAGGUCGCUGGUUUAAUUCCAGCUGGAAGGA